Molecule: ribosomal RNA, 468 nt
Filed under: uncultured bacterium
Lineage: Bacteria
Description: partial 16S ribosomal RNA
Rfam family: Bacterial small subunit ribosomal RNA
Source: RNAcentral
GAUGAACGCUGGCGGCGUGCUUAACACAUGCAAGUCGAACGGUGAAGGCGGAGCUUGCUCUGCUGGAUCAGUGGCGAACGGGUGAGUAACACGUGAGCAAUCUGCCCCUGACUCUGGGAUAAGCGCUGGAAACGGCGUCUAAUACUGGAUACGAGCUGCGAAGGCAUCUUCAGCAGCUGGAAAGAACUUCGGUCAGGGAUGAGCUCGCGGCCUAUCAGCUUGUUGGUGAGGUAACGGCUCACCAAGGCGUCGACGGGUAGCCGGCCUGAGAGGGUGACCGGCCACGCGGGGGCGGAACCAGGGCCCGGCCCCCGCGGGGGGGCAGCAGGGGGGAUUAGUGCAAAAGGGGAGAAGGCUGGAGGCAGCACGGCGGGGGGGGGGCGGCCGGCCGUGGGUUGGAAACCCUUUUUUGGCGGGAAAAAGGCAAAAGGGAGGGACCCUGAAAAAAAGGCGCGGGCAAGCUAGGUC